RNAcentral lists this transfer RNA (69 nucleotides) under Streptomyces siderophoricus. RNAcentral describes it as "tRNA-Leu". Lineage: Bacteria; Bacillati; Actinomycetota; Actinomycetes; Kitasatosporales; Streptomycetaceae. The record is from RNAcentral.
GCGUCUGUGGUCCAAGGAAAGACGUCCACCAAGUGGGAGAUGCAGGUGCAAGGCCUGCCGGGCGCUCCA